This 427-nucleotide ribosomal RNA is filed under the name uncultured bacterium. Its description in RNAcentral is "bacterial SSU rRNA". It matches the Rfam family "Bacterial small subunit ribosomal RNA", at positions 355 to 774 of the family's 1533-position model. The record is from RNAcentral.
UGGGGAAUUUUGGACAAUGGGCGCAAGCCUGAUCCAGCCAUGCCGCGUGCAGGAUGAAGGCCUUCGGGUUGUAAACUGCUUUUGUACGGAACGAAAAGACUCCUUCUAAUAAAGGGGGUCCAUGACGGUACCGUAAGAAUAAGCACCGGCUAACUACGUGCCAGCAGCCGCGGUAAUACGUAGGGUGCGAGCGUUAAUCGGAAUUACUGGGCGUAAAGCGUGCGCAGGCGGUUAUAUAAGACAGAUGUGAAAUCCCCGGGCUCAACCUGGGAACUGCAUUAGUGACUGUAUAGCUAGAGUACGGCAGAGGGGGAUGGAAUUCCGCGUGUAGCAGUGAAGUGCGUAGAUAUGCGGAGGAACACCGAUGGCGAAGGCAAUCCCCUGGGCCUGUACUGACGCUCAUGCACGAAAGCGUGGGGAGCAAACA